GAACACUGCGGUCUUACCUGCAGUCGAACGGAAAGGCCCUUCGGGGUACUCGAGUGGCGAACGGGAGAGUAACACGUGGGUGAUCUGCCCUGCACUCUGGGAUAAGCCUGGGAAACUGGGUCUAAUACCGGAUAGGACCACACACUUCAUGGUGAGUGGUGCAAAGCUUUUGCGGUGUGGGAUGAGCCCGCGGCCUAUCAGCUUGUUGGUGGGGUAAUGGCCCACCAAGGCGACGACGGGUAGCCGGCCUGAGAGGGUGACCGGCCACACUGGGACUGAGAUACGGCCCAGACUCCUACGGGAGGCAGCAGUGGGGAAUAUUGCACAAUGGGCGCAAGCCUGAUGCAGCGACGCCGCGUGAGGGAUGACGGCCUUCGGGUUGUAAACCUCUUUCAGUAGGGACUUUUUUUAAAGUGACGGUACCUACAGAAGAAGGACCGGCCAACUACGUGCCAGCAGCCGCGGUAAUACGUAGGGUCCGAGCGUUGUCCGGAAUUACUGGGCGUAAAGAGCUCGUAGGUGGUUUGUCGCGUUGUUCGUGAAAACUCACAGCUUAACUGUGGGCGUGCGGGCGAUACGGGCAGACUAGAGUACUGCAGGGGAGACUGGAAUUCCUGGUGUAGCGGUGGAAUGCUCAUAUAUCAGGAGGAACACCGGGUGGCGAAGGCGGGUCUCUGGGCAGUAACUGACGCU
RNAcentral lists this ribosomal RNA (693 nucleotides) under Mycobacteroides abscessus. RNAcentral describes it as "bacterial SSU rRNA". It matches the Rfam family "Bacterial small subunit ribosomal RNA", at positions 31 to 747 of the family's 1533-position model. The record is from RNAcentral. Lineage: Bacteria; Bacillati; Actinomycetota; Actinomycetes; Mycobacteriales; Mycobacteriaceae.